CAGGCUUAACACAUGCAAGUCGAGGGGCAGCAUGGUCUUAGCUUGCUAAGACUGAUGGCGACCGGCGCACGGGUGAGUAACACGUAUCCAACCUGCCGUCUACUCUUGGACAGCCUUCUGAAAGGAAGAUUAAUACAAGAUGGCAUCAUGAGUCCGCAUGUUCACAUGAUUAAAGGUAUUCCGGUAGACGAUGGGGAUGCGUUCCAUUAGAUAGUAGGCGGGGUAACGGCCCACCUAGUCUUCGAUGGAUAGGGGUUCUGAGAGGAAGGUCCCCCACAUUGGAACUGAGACACGGUCCAAACUCCUACGGGAGGCAGCAGUGAGGAAUAUUGGUCAAUGGGCGAGAGCCUGAACCAGCCAAGUAGCGUGAAGGAUGACUGCCCUAUGGGUUGUAAACUUCUUUUAUAAAGGAAUAAAGUCGGGUAUGGAUACCCGUUUGCAUGUACUUUAUGAAUAAGGAUCGGCUAACUCCGUGCCAGCAGCCGCGGUAAUACGGAGGAUCCGAGCGUUAUCCGGAUUUAUUGGGUUUAAAGGGAGCGUAGAUGGAUGUUUAAGUCAGUUGUGAAAGUUUGCGGCUCAACCGUAAAAUUGCAGUUGAUACUGGAUAUCUUGAGUGCAGUUGAGGCAGGCGGAAUUCGUGGUGUAGCGGUGAAAUGCUUAGAUAUCACGAAGAACUCCGAUUGCGAAGGCAGCCUGCUAAGCUGCAACUGACAUUGAGGCUCGAAAGUGUGGGUAUCAAACAGGAUUAGAUACCCUGGUAGUCCACACGGUAAACGAUGAAUACUCGCUGUUUGCGAUAUACUGCAAGCGGCCAAGCGAAAGCGUUAAGUAUUCCACCUGGGGAGUACGCCGGCAACGGUGAAACUCAAAGGAAUUGACGGGGGCCCGCACAAGCGGAGGAACAUGUGGUUUAAUUCGAUGAUACGCGAGGAACCUUACCCGGGCUUAAAUUGCAGAUGAAUUACGGUGAAAGCCGUAAGCCGCAAGGCAUCUGUGAAGGUGCUGCAUGGUUGUCGUCAGCUCGUGCCGUGAGGUGUCGGCUUAAGUGCCAUAACGAGCGCAACCCUUGUUGUCAGUUACUAACAGGUUCCGCUGAGGACUCUGACAAGACUGCCAUCGUAAGAUGUGAGGAAGGUGGGGAUGACGUCAAAUCAGCACGGCCCUUACGUCCGGGGCUACACACGUGUUACAAUGGGGGGUACAGAGGGCCGCUACCACGCGAGUGGAUGCCAAUCCUCAAAACCUCUCUCAGUUCGGACUGGAGUCUGCAACCCGACUCCACGAAGCUGGAUUCGCUAGUAAUCGCGCAUCAGCCACGGCGCGGUGAAUACGUUCCCGGGCCUUGUACACACCGCCCGUCAAGCCAUGGGAGCCGGGGGUACCUGAAGUGCGUAACCGCGAGGAGCGCCCUAGGGUAAAACUGGUGACUGGGGCUAAGAC
RNAcentral lists this ribosomal RNA (1440 nucleotides) under uncultured organism. Its description in RNAcentral is "SSU rRNA". It matches the Rfam family "Bacterial small subunit ribosomal RNA". The record is from RNAcentral.